Non-coding RNA from Triticum urartu, 146 nucleotides. Lineage: Eukaryota; Viridiplantae; Streptophyta; Magnoliopsida; Poales; Poaceae. The record is from Rfam.
CAUGUACUCUCUCCGUUUGGAAUUACUUGUCUCGAAAAUGGAUGUAUCUAGAACAUCGGAAUUACUUGUCUCGGAAAUGGAUGUAUCUAGAUGUUCUAGAUACAUCCAUUUCCGAGACAAGUAAUUCCGAACGGAGGGAGUAACAU